UACGUAGGCAGCGAGCGUUGUUCGGAGUUACUGGGCGUAAAGGGCUCGUAGGCGGCCAACUAAGUCAGACGUGAAAUCCCCAGGCCCAACCUGGGAACUGCGUCUGAUACUGGAUGGCUUGAAUCCGGGAGAGGGAUGCAGAAUUCCAGGUGUAGCGGUGAAAUGCGUAGAUAUCUGGAGGAACACCGGUGGCGAAGGCGGCAUCCUGGACCAACACUGACGCUGAGGAGCGAAAGCCAGGGGAGCAAACGGG
Molecule: ribosomal RNA, 253 nt
Filed under: uncultured bacterium
Lineage: Bacteria
Description: partial 16S ribosomal RNA
Rfam family: Bacterial small subunit ribosomal RNA
Source: RNAcentral